GAGCGGACCCUUCCCUCCUUUUUGAGGGAAACCUCUGCACCCUGGGAAAAGUCUCCAUUUUGAGGGGACCCUUUUCCCUAGAGAGAUUCUCCUUUAGGGAACCGCCCUCCCUGAGGAAACCCUGCUUUCCCAGGAAAACCUUCUCCUUGAGGAGACCUUGCUUUUCCAGGGCAUCCCUUUUUCCUCAGGAGACCUUGCUUUUCCAGGGCAUCCCUUUUUCCUGAGGAGACCCUGCUUUUCCAGAAACCCUCCUCCCUGAGGAGACCUUGCUUUUCCAGGGCAUCCCUUUUCCUUGAGGAGACCUUGCUUUUCCAGGAGCCCUUUUCCCUGAGGAGACCUUGCUUUUCCAGGGCAUCCUCCUGCAUUCUUCCUGAGGCAUCCCUUUUCACUCAGCCUCCCUGGCCCUAAAACAUGUUUUAAAAACAGUAAAAAUUCAAAGUUGUAGCUGGGACACAGCAACCAGCCUUCGCAGCUCCUGUCAAGGCUGACUGGCAAAAUCAGGCUGCUGUGAGGCUGAGAGGUAAAAAGGCUGUACAUGGGCUAAGGGACAAAUGCAAGGUCACAGGGACUGGCCAUGCCUUCAGUCAGACAUGUGAAGACUUGGUAGAAAAGUUAUAACCUCAGUGGUUGCAAAAGUCUGGUCCCACAAUUCUCUUUUUUAGUUUUUUUUUUUUUUUUCAGGCAACUUUUCAUCCCAUUUGCAUUAUUCUCCUUGUUCUUUCAGCUACAGGGUUUGGUUCCUGCAACAUACCAAGGCCUUCACAUUCAGAGCAGUAACACCAUUUUUGCCCAUGCUUCGUGUGACUCUGGUUGAUUUUCUUGCAGCCUGAGCUCAGUGUGAAGCCUCCUUCUUCCAGAUGUGGGGAGAUGGGCAAAUUCACAUAAAUCUGGUGUUGUGAGUGUUCCUGCAACAAGGUACCAUGGAACAGCUUAACAGCUUUGCCACUUAACUUUGAAUUAUAGUCUGAUCGGUGUAUUUUCAACAGAAGGCAAAAAUGUACAAAAGAAGAGAAUUUAGGGGAAAAAAAUAGUUUCCCAGAGAAGUUAUUAAUGUCCCAUCCCUGGAAAUUUUCAAGACCAGGUUGGAUUAGGCUCAGAGCACCCUGGGCUGGUGGAAGGUGUCCUUGCCCAUGGCAGGUGUUGGAAUGAGAUGAGCUUUAAGAUCCUUUCCAAUACAACCCAAUCUGUGAUUCUGUCUGUAUUAACCAUAGCAGAGCCUCACUGCUCUUUUUCAAGAACGAGUAAAAAUCUUGAUAAAGUUAAACCGUACUUUUCAAUUGUGGGGUGUUUUUUUGUAACCUUCAUGGAUUCAAAAUUUCAUAAAAACCUGACUAAUAGUCUUCCUGUUGCCAGCUCAGACAUGGAAACAGAUUGACCAGAAUUCCAGGGCGGAUGCUGUUUCAGAUUCUCUCUGAUCGCCACGAGAGCCACAGGACUUAACUCAGCUCCUGUCAGCAGGGUCAGGACAUAGCAAGUAAAAAUGAAGCUCGAAACAUCCCAGGAUUCAAUGACGUUCCUCUGGAAACUGCUGGAGAUGUCUUUGCCCACACGAUGGCAUCGCCUGUUUAGGAAGUUCCUCACGCUGCGGCUUCAGCACCCUCCCAGCGGGUUUGGAUUCUAACACCGUGUGUUAGAAGUAAAACCUGCUGUAAUAAAUUAGUUCAUCCCUUUCCUAACAACUCUACGUAAUGACUGUGAGGGUAAAACUCGGUUUUUGGUGGAAAUCCCUCCUUCCAGGUCCUGGAAAAAG
Taeniopygia guttata (zebra finch) is the source of this 1750-nucleotide long non-coding RNA. RefSeq lists it as uncharacterized. Lineage: Eukaryota; Metazoa; Chordata; Aves; Passeriformes; Estrildidae. The record is from RefSeq and is a predicted model, not a curated record.